UUCUAAGUUUGUUCUGGGUAUAAGCUUUCGUGUGCAUGCACACUUCUUCAGGAAGUAUCUGAAGAAGUGUGCAUGCACACGAAAGCUUAUACCCAGAACAAACUUAGUUGG
Non-coding RNA from Podarcis lilfordi (Lilford's wall lizard), 111 nucleotides. NCBI's taxonomy places the organism in Eukaryota, Metazoa, Chordata, Lepidosauria, Squamata, Lacertidae. The record is from the annotation of a GenBank genome assembly.